CCCCUGGUGGUUUAGUGGUUCGGAUGCAGCAUUCUCAUCGCAGCGGCCCAGGUUCAAUUCCUGGUCAGGGGA
RNAcentral lists this transfer RNA (72 nucleotides) under Manacus vitellinus (golden-collared manakin). It matches the Rfam family "tRNA". From Rfam's summary of the family: Transfer RNA (tRNA) molecules are approximately 80 nucleotides in length. Their secondary structure includes four short double-helical elements and three loops (D, anti-codon, and T loops). Lineage: Eukaryota; Metazoa; Chordata; Aves; Passeriformes; Pipridae. The record is from Rfam by way of RNAcentral.